Molecule: microRNA, 22 nt
Filed under: Ciona intestinalis (vase tunicate)
Lineage: Eukaryota; Metazoa; Chordata; Ascidiacea; Phlebobranchia; Cionidae
Description: Cin-Mir-135-P8_3p* (star (passenger))
Source: RNAcentral
UCACAGUAAAGUAAGCCAUUAU